RNAcentral lists this ribosomal RNA (373 nucleotides) under uncultured bacterium. RNAcentral describes it as "bacterial SSU rRNA". It matches the Rfam family "Bacterial small subunit ribosomal RNA", at positions 523 to 898 of the family's 1533-position model. The record is from RNAcentral.
AUACGGAGGAUCCAAGCGUUAUCCGGAUUCAUUGGGUUUAAAGGGUGCGCAGGCGGGUUAAUAAGUCAGAGGUGAAAUCCUACAGCUCAACUGUAGAACUGCCUUUGAUACUGUUAGCCUAGAGUAUAGUUGAAGUGGGCGGAAUGUAGCAUGUAGCGGUGAAAUGCUUAGAUAUGCUACAGAACACCGAUCGCGAAGGCAGCUCACUAAGCUGAAACUGACGCUCAUGCACGAAAGCGUGGGGAUCAAACAGGAUUAGAUACCCUGGUAGUCCACGCCGUAAACGAUGAUUACUCGAUGUUGGCGAUAUACCGUCAGCGUCUGAGCGAAAGCAUUAAGUAAUCCACCUGGGGAGUACGAUCGCAAGAUUGAA